This 478-nucleotide ribosomal RNA is filed under the name Fusarium oxysporum f. sp. lycopersici. RNAcentral's name for it is "eukaryotic LSU rRNA". The stretch from base 131 to 284 matches the Rfam family "5.8S ribosomal RNA". Lineage: Eukaryota; Fungi; Ascomycota; Sordariomycetes; Hypocreales; Nectriaceae. The record is from RNAcentral.
AACCCCUGUGACAUACCUAUACGUUGCCUCGGCGGAUCAGCCCGCGCCCCGUAAAAAGGGACGGCCCGCCCGAGGACCCCUAAACUCUGUUUUUAGUGGAACUUCUGAGUAAAACAAACAAAUAAAUCAAAACUUUCAACAACGGAUCUCUUGGUUCUGGCAUCGAUGAAGAACGCAGCAAAAUGCGAUAAGUAAUGUGAAUUGCAGAAUUCAGUGAAUCAUCGAAUCUUUGAACGCACAUUGCGCCCGCCAGUAUUCUGGCGGGCAUGCCUGUUCGAGCGUCAUUUCAACCCUCAAGCUCAGCUUGGUGUUGGGACUCGCGGUAACCCGCGUUCCCCAAAUCGAUUGGCGGUCACGUCGAGCUUCCAUAGCGUAGUAAUCAUACACCUCGUUACUGGUAAUCGUCGCGGCCACGCCGUAAAACCCCAACUUCUGAAUGUUGACCUCGGAUCAGGUAGGAAUACCCGCUGAACUUAAG